UACGGGGGGGGCAAGCGUUGUUCGGAAUUACUGGGCGUAAAGGGCGUGUAGGUGGCCAACUAAGUCAGACGUGAAAUCCCUCGGCUUAACCGGGGAACUGCGUCUGAUACUGGAUGGCUUGAGUGUGGGAGAGGGAUGCGGAAUUCCAGGUGUAGCGGUGAAAUGCGUAGAUAUCUGGAGGAACACCGGUGGCGAAGGCGGCAUCCUGGACCAAUAUUGACGCUGAGGAGCGAAAGCCAGGGGAGCAAACGGG
RNAcentral lists this ribosomal RNA (253 nucleotides) under uncultured bacterium. RNAcentral describes it as "partial 16S ribosomal RNA". It matches the Rfam family "Bacterial small subunit ribosomal RNA", at positions 524 to 776 of the family's 1533-position model. The record is from RNAcentral.